RNAcentral lists this unclassified non-coding RNA (205 nucleotides) under Hevea brasiliensis (rubber tree). Lineage: Eukaryota; Viridiplantae; Streptophyta; Magnoliopsida; Malpighiales; Euphorbiaceae. The record is from RNAcentral.
GGCUGAUAAAAAGGUUGAAGAAUUGGAAAAGGAAAUAGCAGAUUCUAGACAGAAAAUUGAGUUCUACCGUGUUAAGAUGCAGGAACUUAUUUUAUAUAAAAGCCGAUGUGACAGUCGACUAAAUGAGGUAACAGAAAGGGUGGCAGCCGAUAAACGUGAGGUUGAGGCAUUCGCCAAGAAAUACGAGGAGAAAUACAAGCAGUCU